RNAcentral lists this unclassified non-coding RNA (4567 nucleotides) under Leishmania donovani. RNAcentral describes it as "gene:LdHU3.24.2200(CDS-product:cell_division_cycl e_protein_20_putative)". Lineage: Eukaryota; Euglenozoa; Kinetoplastea; Trypanosomatida; Trypanosomatidae. The record is from RNAcentral.
GCACAGCGGUACACCAGUGCUGUUAUUGUGUUCAUUGUUUCGGCGUCUGGUGACGGUGCAGGUGUGUGUGUGUGUGUGUGUGCAAGUCGUCAUUCCCUCGCUAACCGACCACCCCCCUCCGCACUCCCAGCCUGCCACAACCACUAAAAGGGCUUCUCAGCCGUCAUUCUUUACGUUUUGUUUCUUCGCGGCACGCCUCUCUUCUUUCUUCGACACGUAUUCUCUGCGUGCCUGUGUGUCGGUGCCCGAGGCCUCUCCAUCUGCGUCGUGCUCCAUCAACACCGUCGCAGUGCGCGCCAUUCAGCCAUACGCAGCGACCGUCGCUUUCCUUCACCAAACGCCGAUACACGCACGCGCGUCCGUGCACAGCCGCGCGCACUAACACAGCUUCGUACGUUGGCGUGUGUGCCCGCCCCCUCACCCAACCUCGCUCACUUAUAAGCCCUUCUCUCGCUCGCAUUUCGCUUCCAACAGGCCCCAUUCAAAGCCGCCGGUGUCUCCCUCUCUCUGCUCUUGCACCGUGAGGCCCGCCACAGACCUUCAGAUACGUACACAGGCAGAGCAGGAGAAGCGAGUACACAAACGCCCCCCUCUCACCCCCUCUUCCAGAGACGCACUCAGACACACACACACACAGGGGGGGUGCUGUUCCUUCGCCAUCUCGCCUCUUUUUCCUGUUCCCGACCUGUCUUUCCAUUCGCGCACACAAGCAGGCAGAAGGGCAGAUAGACGCGCCCUCUCAUUUUUUGUUUUUGUGUCUGCCUUCGUCGUCCACUUACUCCUGCCACCGCCGCCUCCUCCCCUCCCCCUCCCCACCAUCCCUUUUCUGUGCACUCGUGCUGAAUCCUCCUCCUACCCAUCCUCUUUCAGCGACAUGGAGUUCAGAACACCGGCACGAGCUGCGCAUGUCCCCACGCCCGGCACCAGCGCCGCCGCGACGGAGACUCUCUUUGCCUCCCCAUCUUCGCCCGCUCCGCGACGCCCUGGUGAUGAGACGCCUACCUCGGUCAACUCCUCCCAUCUGCGCGGUCUUUCCUCCCGCUCCUCGCCGCUUAACGAGUAUCGCAGGCACGCUCAGAACCAUACCCGUCUUUCACCGCAGCCGCUGUCCUCGCAGGCGUCGGUGGAUCGCUACGUCUCAGCCCCUUCGCGACAGGCAACAUCAAUGGCACACUUUCUCCUGACCUCCCGCGAACGGAAGACGCCAAUGCUUAUCCGGGCCGCGCAGCAGCACUAUCACCUCGCCAUCCGCAGCCCAUCGCGUGAUCCGUCUUUUGACGUGUCCUCGUCACUGGAGGACUCCUAUAACUCCCUGGUCCGGUACGCUGUGGACCGCAGCUCCUCGCGCCACGCCACGGUCGCCUCACCGCGAUCACACCGGAGCCUUCCACGGGUAGGCAGCUCCGCCAUGACGCCCAGCAGCGCGCGGCUGAGCAGUGUCUUCGCAAAGAUGCAUCUCGACCCAUCUACCACGCUGCGCAGCAGCCGCGAGCGCAGUGGGAGCAGUCCUUCUUUGACGGGCGUCGAUACGAGCGGCGGAUGUGGCGGCCAGCUUGGCGACGAUGGCAGGAGCUCGCCGUCCUCAGCGAUGGAGCUCGAGCCGUACACGACGAAGCUCGCGCGCACCCUCUUCAGCGAUGUAGAGCAAACCACGGUGUUGCCUGUGAACGACACCGCCGCGCGACCGCUGGGCAUGGCUGCGCGCAGCAUCGGUGGCUGCAGCCACGCCGAGGAGGCGGAAGAGGUGAGCAGCCCCGUCAAGGAUGGAACAGCGGGGCUAGGCAGCCGCUCACUGCUCGAUUGCAGCGGUGCCCGGCGCCAUCGAGCCGACGAGAACGACGGCGAAAACGACGAUGACGCGCUGGAGGCAGACUGGAUGCGCAACGAAGAGGAUGAACAAGCAUUGCCAUCGUCUGUAGCGAUCCGUAGGCACAUGGCUUCGCUGCCCACUCGCGUGCCGCUUGCCAUGUCGGAGGUGAAUCAGUUCGGCAUGGCAGAAGGCGCACGCUUCGACGCGUCUCUCGGCGUCGUGUUCGAGUGCAACCGCACACGCAACUUUACGACCCCUUCUUUCCGCGUUAUACCACAUACGCCGGAGCGCAUCCUGGACGCGGCCGACAUGGAGGACGAUUUCUACAUGAACCUCAUCGACUGGUCGGCCACGUCAGACGUCCUGUGCGUCGCGCUGCAGAACUGUGUGUACCUGUGGGAUGCCAAGACGUGCGGCAUCACGGAGCUGCCGCGUGUCGUCUCGACCGGUGGCGGGCUUCACGGAGAUGGCCGCUCGGGCGAUGCACAGCUCGUCUGCGGCCUGAACUGGGCGCCAGACGGGUACCACCUCGCCGUUGGUCGCCACAGCGGCGCGGUGGAGGUAUGGGACGUCGAGACACAGCAAAUUGUGCACACGUACCGGCAGCACGCAGACCGCACCGUGUCCCUCUCCUGGGAGCCGCUAGGGGGUUGGCUUCUGGCGUCGGGAAGUCGCGACAGCACUGUCGUUCUGCGUGACGUACGCGAGCGCGACACUUCCACGUCCGCCUCCGCGGCAUCGCCGUCCUCCUCCUCCUCCUCGGCCAGCGCCACGGCGGUACUGCGGGCACAUGAAACGGAGGUGUGCGGCCUCAAGUGGUCCCCGACGGGGGCAAUGCUGGCGAGCGGCGGCAACGAUAAUCAGCUUCUGCUGUGGGACCGCCGGAGCAUCUCGACGGGGAGCCGCAGCAGCGACACCAGUGGGGUCUACCGCCACGGCGAGUGUCAGCCCAUCUUUUUCCUGAAUAAGCACACCGCGGCGGUGAAGGCACUCAGCUGGAACCCGGCGCAGCCGGCCCUUUUGGCCAGCGGUGGCGGCUCGCACGACAAGGCGCUACGCUUCUGGAACUCGCUCACGGGCGAGUGCGUCCACCACAUCAAUACUGGUAGCCAAGUGUGCGGCGUUGUGUGGAACCGCGUUGGCACGGAGCUUGUCACGGCGCAUGGCUACACGGACAACCAGCUUAGCAUCUGGCGCUAUCCAUCCCUGCGGCGCAUUGCCAACCUGAUUGGCCACACGUCACGUGUGCUGCACCUCGCCCUCUCGGCGGACGGUCAAACAGUUGUAUCGGCCGCCGGAGACGAGACGCUUCGGUUCUGGCGCUGCUUCCCGGCGAGCGAGCUGCGUGAGUCGUCGCCGCACCUGCAUCGCAGCGCCUAUAGCUCUACGAAAGGCUUCUCGUUUAGUUCCUCCACGUAUGGAGGAGGCGUAGGAAUGAGCCCAGGCGGCACUUCCGCCUCCACGUCCUCCAUCGCCCGCGCGCGGGCGAUGGCCACCGCGUCCGGCCGAUGCGGCAGCCUAUCACAAGGCCGCGACAGCCGCUCGCUUAUGAAUGAAGAGAUUGAGCUGCGAUGACCGAGCUAGAGUGGGCAUCGGCGUCGACAACCAAGUGCACAAGCGCGAUGUUGAGGUCGGCAAAGGAUUGUCGAAUCCGCUGGGGUGCUGAAGGUGAUGAGCGUGUUGCAGGUGAUGGCAUAAGCGCAUGUACGUGUAUCUGUUUGCGUGUGAGGGGCGAGCGCCCCACAUGCCUUCUCUUUUCUGUUCUCGUCCUCCUCUCUCUCGUGCUUCUAUAUGUAUGUCUGCGUGUGUGUGUGUGCGCGCGCGCACGUCUCCCUCCCUUCUGUCAGACCUCACAGUGUGUUGUUGUUGCCCUUCCGUCCCCUGCCUGCCCUCUCCCACCGGGGCUCUUACACGAUGGCGUGAAGGCAAUGUCGACCGCCACCGCCACCGCCGUCACUGCGUCCCACCAGAGUACCCAUACACGCAUGGAUGCACGCGCGCGCACACAUACACACACGCACUUAUGAGCGUGGUGGAAGCCAACUAUCACAGUCACCUUUUCUCCUUUUCUUUCUUCAGUUUACCAUAUAACCUCCCACCCCCACCCCUCCCCUACCUGUCCCUUCCAAUGCCGAACCGCUUCUGGUGGGUGGCAGGGUCAGGUGCGUACGACGUUGGGAUGAGGGCGGGGUCAGUGCGAUGUAUUACUGCGGAUGCCAGCGGUUGGGUCCUUCAUGGUGUGGCAUCGGAGCGACGUGCGACAGUGAACACGCUUGAAGCAUUCACAUGAUGGUCGGAGUGUCAGCACGACUCAACCGCAUCUCAGCCGGCCCUCGCUGCCCGCUGGUGGGUGAGCCUGGGCCAUCCCAAGCGAUGCGCCAGGUGGCGAGCGGCAUGAUGGGGAAGCGGCUGUGAGGCGGCGGGGUGGCGGGUAUAGUUUGAGCCUGGGGCUGCGCUCCGAUGAUCGAGUCGGUGCAUUGCUGUAGCGCGUGUGUCUACGGCCGCUUCGCACCACGCGAUGGGGACCUGUGGCAGGGCCGGUGGGGGAUGAGGGAGGUGGGGUAGCGCGGCGUUUGAGCUCAUGUUGUGUGGCAGAAAAGUGGGCACAUGCCGAGACGGAAAUCGCGAAUGCCGCGCAGCCCACCCACCCCUCCCCUACCCCCUCGGAUACUCCCACGAGUGAUCCAUCUGUACCAACUUGAUUGUACCAUUUCUCUCUUCGCUCACUUCUUUCCAGAUCUGUACAUUGUGUCUUCG